AACGAACGCUGGCGGCAUGCCUAACACAUGCAAGUCGAACGAACCCUUCGGGGUUAGUGGCGCACGGGUGCGUAACGCGUGGGAAUCUGCCCUUUGCUUCGGAAUAACAGUUAGAAAUGACUGCUAAUACCGGAUGAUGUCUUCGGACCAAAGAUUUAUCGGCAAAGGAUGAGCCCGCGUAGGAUUAGGUAGUUGGUGGGGUAAAGGCCUACCAAGCCGACGAUCCUUAGCUGGUCUGAGAGGAUGAUCAGCCACACUGGGACUGAGACACGGCCCAGACUCCUACGGGAGGCAGCAGUGGGGAAUAUUGGACAAUGGACGCAAGUCUGAUCCAGCAAUGCCGCGUGAGUGAUGAAGGCCUUAGGGUUGUAAAGCUCUUUUACCAGGGAUGAUAAUGACAGUACCUGGAGAAUAAGCUCCGGCUAACUCCGUGCCAGCCGCCGCGGUAA
Molecule: ribosomal RNA, 449 nt
Filed under: uncultured bacterium
Lineage: Bacteria
Description: partial 16S ribosomal RNA
Rfam family: Bacterial small subunit ribosomal RNA
Source: RNAcentral